UACAGAGGGUGCUAGCGUUAAUCGGAAUUACUGGGCGUAAAGGGCGCGUAGGUGGAUAUAUAAGUGAGUUGUGAAAUCCCUGGGCUUAACCUAGGAAUUGCAACUUAGACUGUAUGUCUGGAGUGCAGUAGAGGGUGGUGGAAUUUCCGGUGUAGCGGUGAAAUGCGUAGAGAUCGGAAGGAACACCCGUGGCGAAGGCGGCCACCUGGACUGAGACUGACACUGAGGCGCGAGAGCGUGGGGAGCAAACAGG
This 253-nucleotide ribosomal RNA is filed under the name uncultured bacterium. RNAcentral describes it as "partial 16S ribosomal RNA". It matches the Rfam family "Bacterial small subunit ribosomal RNA", at positions 524 to 776 of the family's 1533-position model. The record is from RNAcentral.